RNAcentral lists this ribosomal RNA (466 nucleotides) under Clostridioides difficile. Its description in RNAcentral is "bacterial SSU rRNA". It matches the Rfam family "Bacterial small subunit ribosomal RNA", at positions 1039 to 1506 of the family's 1533-position model. The record is from RNAcentral. Lineage: Bacteria; Bacillati; Bacillota; Clostridia; Peptostreptococcales; Peptostreptococcaceae.
UGGUGCAUGGUUGUCGUCAGCUCGUGUCGUGAGAUGUUGGGUUAAGUCCCGCAACGAGCGCAACCCUUGUCUUUAGUUGCCAUCAUUAAGUUGGGCACUCUAGAGAGACUGCCAGGGAUAACCUGGAGGAAGGUGGGGAUGACGUCAAAUCAUCAUGCCCCUUAUGCUUAGGGCUACACACGUGCUACAAUGGGUAGUACAGAGGGUUGCCAAGCCGUAAGGUGGAGCUAAUCCCUUAAAGCUACUCUCAGUUCGGAUUGUAGGCUGAAACUCGCCUACAUGAAGCUGGAGUUACUAGUAAUCGCAGAUCAGAAUGCUGCGGUGAAUGCGUUCCCGGGUCUUGUACACACCGCCCGUCACACCACGGGAGUUGGAGACGCCCGAAGCCGAUUAUCUAACCUUUUGGAAGAAGUCGUCGAAGGUGGAAUCAAUAACUGGGGUGAAGUCGUAACAAGGUAGCCGUAUC